UACGUAGGGGGCAAGCGUUGUCCGGAAUCAUUGGGCGUAAAGCGCGUGUAGGCGGCUCGAUACGUCUGCUGUGAAAGUCCAGGGCUCAACCCUGGGAUGCCGGUGGAUACUGUCGAGCUCGAGUCCGGAAGAGGCGAGUGGAAUUCCUGGUGUAGCGGUGAAAUGCGCAGAUAUCAGGAGGAACACCAAUGGCGAAGGCAGCUCGCUGGGACGGUACUGACGCUGAGGAGCGAAAGCGUGGGUAGCGAACAGG
RNAcentral lists this ribosomal RNA (253 nucleotides) under uncultured bacterium. RNAcentral's name for it is "partial 16S ribosomal RNA". It matches the Rfam family "Bacterial small subunit ribosomal RNA", at positions 524 to 776 of the family's 1533-position model. The record is from RNAcentral.